UACGUAGGGCGCAAGCGUUGUCCGGAAUUAUUGGGCGUAAAGAGCUCGUAGGCGGCUUGUCACGUCGGGUGUGAAAGCCCGGGGCUUAACCCCGGGUCUGCAUUCGAUACGGGCUAGCUAGAGUGUGGUAGGGGAGAUCGGAAUUCCUGGUGUAGCGGUGAAAUGCGCAGAUAUCAGGAGGAACACCGGUGGCGAAGGCGGAUCUCUGGGCCAUUACUGACGCUGAGGAGCGAAAGCAUGGGGAGCGAACGGG
This 253-nucleotide ribosomal RNA is filed under the name uncultured bacterium. RNAcentral's name for it is "partial 16S ribosomal RNA". It matches the Rfam family "Bacterial small subunit ribosomal RNA", at positions 524 to 776 of the family's 1533-position model. The record is from RNAcentral.